CACCACUCAAGCCUGGCUUGGUAUUGGGUCCACGGGGGCGACCCGGACCUCAAAAUGUCGGCGGGAAAGUCUGGAUCUCAGCGUUGUGGCAAUCAAAACCGCUGGCGAGAUGGGCUCUCCGUGCCGUUAAACCUUCAUCAAA
Molecule: unclassified non-coding RNA, 142 nt
Filed under: uncultured Dothideomycetes
Lineage: Eukaryota; Fungi; Ascomycota; Dothideomycetes
Description: sequence contains ITS2
Source: RNAcentral